CCUACGGGAGGCAGCAGUAAGGAAUAUUGGUCAAUGGACGCAAGUCUGAACCAGCCAUGCCGCGUGAAGGAUGAAGGUCCUCUGGAUUGUAAACUUCUUUUAUAGGGGACGAAAAAAGGGAAUUCUUUCUCACUUGACGGUACCCUAGGAAUAAGCACCGGCUAACUCCGUGCCAGCAGCCGCGGUAAUACGGAGGGUGCAAGCGUUAUCCGGAUUCACUGGGUUUAAAGGGUGCGUAGGUGGGCAUUUAAGUCAGUGGUGAAAUCUCCGGGCUUAACCCGGAAACUGCCAUUGAUACUAUUUGUCUUGAAUAUUGUGGAGGUAAGCGGAAUAUGUCAUGUAGCGGUGAAAUGCUUAGAUAUGACAUAGAACACCCAUUGCGAAGGCAGCUUACUACGCAAAUAUUGACACUGAGGCACGAAAGCGUGGGGAUCAAACAGGAUUAGAUACCCUGGUAGUCCACGCCCUAAACGAUGGAUACUCGACAUCAGCGAUACACAGUUGGUGUCUGAGCGAAAGCAUUAAGUAUCCCACCUGGGAAGUACGACCGCAAGGUUGAAACUUAAAGGAAUUGACGG
Molecule: ribosomal RNA, 578 nt
Filed under: uncultured bacterium
Lineage: Bacteria
Description: bacterial SSU rRNA
Rfam family: Bacterial small subunit ribosomal RNA
Source: RNAcentral